RNAcentral lists this ribosomal RNA (422 nucleotides) under uncultured Blautia sp. RNAcentral's name for it is "bacterial SSU rRNA". It matches the Rfam family "Bacterial small subunit ribosomal RNA", at positions 355 to 794 of the family's 1533-position model. Lineage: Bacteria; Bacillati; Bacillota; Clostridia; Lachnospirales; Lachnospiraceae. The record is from RNAcentral.
UGGGGAAUAUUGCACAAUGGGGGAAACCCUGAUGCAGCGACGCCGCGUGAAGGAAGAAGUAUCUCGGUAUGUAAACUUCUAUCAGCAGGGAAGAAAAUGACGGUACCUGACUAAGAAGCCCCGGCUAACUACGUGCCAGCAGCCGCGGUAAUACGUAGGGGGCAAGCGUUAUCCGGAUUUACUGGGUGUAAAGGGAGCGCAGGCGGGUCAGCAAGUCAGAUGUGAAAAUUUUGGGCUUAACCCAAAAAUUGCAUUUGAAACUGUUGAUCUUGAGUGAAGUAGAGGUAAGCGGAAUUCCUGGUGUAGCGGUGAAAUGCGUAGAGAUCAGGAGGAACAUCGGUGGCGAAGGCGGCUUACUGGGCUUUAACUGACGCUGAGGCUCGAAAGCGUGGGGAGCAAACAGGAUUAGAUACCCUGGUAGU